This 460-nucleotide ribosomal RNA is filed under the name uncultured bacterium. RNAcentral's name for it is "partial 16S ribosomal RNA". It matches the Rfam family "Bacterial small subunit ribosomal RNA", at positions 338 to 795 of the family's 1533-position model. The record is from RNAcentral.
CCUACGGGUGGCAGCAGUGAGGAAUAUUGGUCAAUGGGCGCGAGCCUGAACCAGCCAAGUAGCGGGAAGGAUGACUGCCCUACGGGUUGUAAACUCCUUUUAUAAAGGAAUAAAGUGAGGCACGUGUGCCUUUUUGUAUGUACUUUAUGAAUAAGGAUCGGCUAACUCCGUGCCAGCAGCCGCGGUAAGACGGAGGAUCCGAGCGUUAUCCGGAUUUAUUGGGUUUAAAGGGAGCGUAGAUGAGUUGUUAAGUCAGUUGUGAAAGUUUGCGGCUCAACCGUAAAAUGGAAAUUGAUACAGGCAGCCUUGAGUACAGUUUAGGUAGGCGGAAUUCGUGGUGUAGCGGUGAAAUGCUUAGAUAUCACGAAGUACUCCGAUUGCGAAGGCAGCCUACUAAACUGCCACUGACAUUGAUGCUCGAAAGUGUGGGUAUCAAACAGGAUUAGAUACCCCAGUAGUC